UACGUACUGUGCGAACGUUAUUCGGAAUCACUGGGCUUAAAGGGUGUGUAGGCGGCUAGCUAAGUAGGGUGUGAAAGGCCUCGGCUCAACCGAGGCACUGCGCUCUAAACUGACUAGCUUGAGUAAGAUAGGGGUGUGCGGAACUUCCAGUGGAGCGGUGAAAUGUGUUGAUAUUGGAAGGAACGCCGGUGGCGAAAGCGGCACACUGGGUCUUGUCUGACGCUGAGACACGAAAGCCAGGGGAG
RNAcentral lists this ribosomal RNA (245 nucleotides) under uncultured Planctomyces sp. RNAcentral describes it as "partial 16S ribosomal RNA". It matches the Rfam family "Bacterial small subunit ribosomal RNA", at positions 524 to 768 of the family's 1533-position model. The record is from RNAcentral. Lineage: Bacteria; Pseudomonadati; Planctomycetota; Planctomycetia; Planctomycetales; Planctomycetaceae.